GCGGAACCCCGUCAGGAAAAGCGCACAAAACUGCUCUUAAGUCAUUGCAGAGCUACCGCUUCGGUUAGCCAGCCACGAAGUUCUCGCGAGAGUCGUCUCCUCGAUACCAAGCGCCUGUGUCUGGCAGAGCUGGUGUGAGACGAGACAAUCCUGCCCCGCCGCCGGGAUAAUCAAGAGUUUUGGCCGGACCUUUGAGCAUACACCGAGAGAGUGAGGAGCCAGACGACAAGCACACACUAUGGCGCUGAAACGGAUUAAUAAGGAACUUAGUGAUUUGGCCCGUGACCCUCCAGCACAAUGUUCUGCAGGUCCAGUUGGGGAUGAUAUGUUUCAUUGGCAAGCCACAAUUAUGGGACCUAUAAGCAACUAUAUGCUGGAUAAUUGAAUAUUCAGAAUUAUGGAUACCAUCUAAGAAUUUC
RNAcentral lists this long non-coding RNA (419 nucleotides) under Pan troglodytes (chimpanzee). Its description in RNAcentral is "long non-coding RNA NONPTRT013164". Lineage: Eukaryota; Metazoa; Chordata; Mammalia; Primates; Hominidae. The record is from RNAcentral.